CGUAGGCCAAAGUACCGAGUCGGAGAACGUUUCGACGUACGAAGUGAGUUUUAACGUAGCUUAGACUACUUAACGUAGAACUAGGCUACGGAAGCGAGCGGCGGACGGGUGAGUAACACGUGGGUAACCUGCCCAAGAGACUGGGAUAACACCUGGAAACAGAUGCUAAUACCGGAUAACAACACUAGACGCAUGUCUAGAGUUUGAAAGAUGGUUCUGCUAUCACUCUUGGAUGGACCUGCGGUGCAUUAGCUAGUUGGUAAGGUAACGGCUUACCAAGGCAAUGAUGCAUAGCCGAGUUGAGAGACUGAUCGGCCACAUUGGGACUGAGACACGGCCCAAACUCCUACGGGAGGCAGCAGUAGGGAAUCUUCCACAAUGGACGAAAGUCUGAUGGAGCAACGCCGCGUGAGUGAAGAAGGGUUUCGGCUCGUAAAGCUCUGUUGGUAGUGAAGAAAGAUAGAGGUAGUAACUGGCCUUUAUUUGACGGUAAUUACUUAGAAAGUCACGGCUAACUACGUGCCAGCAGCCGCGGUAA
This 538-nucleotide ribosomal RNA is filed under the name uncultured bacterium. RNAcentral's name for it is "bacterial SSU rRNA". It matches the Rfam family "Bacterial small subunit ribosomal RNA", at positions 63 to 523 of the family's 1533-position model. The record is from RNAcentral.